AAUGCGAAACGGAUUAUUAAG
RNAcentral lists this microRNA (21 nucleotides) under Drosophila erecta. RNAcentral describes it as "der-miR-983a-3p". Its record names the gene der-miR-983a-3p. Lineage: Eukaryota; Metazoa; Arthropoda; Insecta; Diptera; Drosophilidae. The record is from miRBase by way of RNAcentral.